Non-coding RNA from Trichonephila clavata, 73 nucleotides. The record is from the annotation of a GenBank genome assembly. NCBI's taxonomy places the organism in Eukaryota, Metazoa, Arthropoda, Arachnida, Araneae, Nephilidae.
AUCCCUGUAUCGCAGUGGAUAGCGUGUUGGACUUCUUAUCCAAAGGUCGUGUGUUCCAAUCCCACUUGGGAUA